AUAAAUAUAAUUUCAGUCGGUUGAUUUUAUGAAUUAGAAUGAAAUUAUUUUCUUCUGAAUUGUCUGCCCAUAGAUGGCGUUUAGGUUAAGUUGUUUGUGUGAUUUGGCGGUUAAAUCAUUCGGCACGACAGGGUCUACUCGAUAGGUCACGUUAAUUUUUUCUAGCUGUGUUAGUCGAUUAGUACGUUCGAAUUUAGUCUUGGAUUAUGAAUAUUAUGAAGAUAAUGAACCCGAUAUUUCAUUGAGAACUGUUUUAACUGCUUUAAAUCAACAAAGUUGAGGUAUUGAGCCGGCAAUUAUUGGUGAUAGAGAGACGGAGAAGUUUGGUGGACUUGGAUAAGUUGCAGGGUUCUAACCAGUUGAUGGAGUACCAGGUGAAGAGAAAAGAAAAAGGGAACAUACUACUCUUGUGGGUCCUACACACACUACAGGUCCAGCAGUCCGUAUGUCAACAGUAGUAAAUCCCCCACCAAACCUGGCCUCAGUGAAAUUUUGAAAGAUGAGUAUUUAAAUUAUCUAUAAAUUUUACCUUUAAUAGAUAAUUGUAUUGAUUAUAAUUUGACCAAUGAUUAUAUUGAAUAUCAAGUAGGUCAAUCUGAUAUUAUUGUUAAGGAUAGACUUAGCAGAAACAUUCAAUUUUAGAUGGAUAUUGAUACGCC
RNAcentral lists this long non-coding RNA (659 nucleotides) under Mytilus galloprovincialis (Mediterranean mussel). The record is from RNAcentral. Lineage: Eukaryota; Metazoa; Mollusca; Bivalvia; Mytilida; Mytilidae.